RNAcentral lists this non-coding RNA (117 nucleotides) under Chlorocebus sabaeus (green monkey). Lineage: Eukaryota; Metazoa; Chordata; Mammalia; Primates; Cercopithecidae. The record is from Rfam by way of RNAcentral.
GCUGGGCAUGGUGGCUCAUGUCUGUAAUCCCAGCACUUUGGGAGGCCGAGGCAGGUGGAUCACCUGAGGUCGGGAGUUCGAGACCACCCCGACCAACAUGGUGAAACCCUGUCUCUA